CCAGGGCGGCUUCACCGAGGACGUCGCGCGCCUCCUCCUGCGGUACGGAAAGGACCCCGACGGGCGUGAAACGAAAGGCCCGCCACGGUCGCAGGCGACCAUGAGCAGAAAACUGCGCUGUACGCUGAUUGAUGCCCUGCGCGCCCUGGAUGCCGGUCCAGUCAUCGAAAGGUUCUCAUCCCCGCUUAACUGCGGUGAAGAGGUGCAAUACUACUUCAGUGUCCACAUAGAAGACCAACUCUUCGGGGGCAAACAUAGAUGCAUUCUCUCAGCCAUUUACAGGCCUCUCGAUAGCACACCCGAACCCUGACCCCACCAGUGUCAAGAAGGCAGUAAUGUGGGCAGUCGCAGGCGCAUCACACACAAUGACAUCCGCACUGCCCACCGCCACUACUCAUUGUCCCGCACAGCCGAACUGGCCCCCACACGCAGCUACACAACACACCGUAUGUCUUCCAGCUCGCGCGGCUGAGCCGCGGUGAAGCGUGCAAGCUUACCAGCGGGACUGGAACUGACGGCCCCAGCCCUGACUACAAGGGGGGCCUGGACCUCGUCGUGGUGGCCAACGACACGGCGAUCCGAGGACUAAACGCCCGAUCCAUGAAGGCGCUCCUAUCCGAACUCGAAGCGAUGGACGCCACUGGCCUCCCCAGAAAACAUCUGCGACUGCGUCGGCACUACUCACUGCGUCGGCACCCAACGACCCUACCCAAACAAAGUCGCUCAGGUCAUGCGCAAGAUGAAUGCCUCAAAGCCGCCCAGACCAAGACCAACCGCCACAGCCCCCCACUCGGACGGACAGAUGCUCCAGCAGCGCCUGACAGCAGCUUUUCCCGGACAAGUACCACUCAGGAUGGACCCGCACACUAUCAUAUGGACCGACGGUAGCUGUAUUAAAUCGGCUGAAAACGACGGCCAGAACAAGUUGGGUGCGGCUGCAUACUGUGGACCCACCGGAAAAACGCUGCACAUCGACCCAGCGGGCGAAGGAUGUACGAAUACCAUCCAACGGGCAGAGCUGGCAGCAAUACGCGUAGCUCUAUCAACCCAAAGGGCAGUGAACAUCACCUUAACAAUUGCCACUGACUCGCAAGCCUCACUGGAUCUUAUCAAAAGAGCAGUAAACGAUCCGAGUAAACUGCA
RNAcentral lists this long non-coding RNA (1143 nucleotides) under Volvox carteri. Its description in RNAcentral is "long non-coding RNA (VCAR_LNC003702)". The record is from RNAcentral. Lineage: Eukaryota; Viridiplantae; Chlorophyta; Chlorophyceae; Chlamydomonadales; Volvocaceae.